UUUCCGUAGGUGAACCUGCGGAAGGAUCAUUGAAGGUUUGUUUUUGGUGGGGUGUUUGUGAUUUGUGGGGACUGUGUGUGGUUGGUUGGAUUGCCUUGAUUGCCUGGGUGUCUGCAACUCGACUCUUUUCAUCUUAACCACUUUUCUCACAUUGACAAUGAAUAGUCGUGUCUGAUUAUUAAUGUAAACAACCACUGUUGUCUGACGUUUGCCCUUGCUCGUUUCACAGAAACAGUACCAUAUCAUUGCAGAACUUUUAACAACGGAUCUCUUGGCUCU
Molecule: unclassified non-coding RNA, 279 nt
Filed under: plant metagenome
Description: partial contains small subunit ribosomal RNA, internal transcribed spacer 1, and 5.8S ribosomal RNA
Source: RNAcentral